GACGAACGCUGGCGGCGUGCUUAACACAUGCAAGUCGAACGCUGAAGCUCAGCUUUUGUUGGGUGGAUGAGUGGCGAACGGGUGAGUAACACGUGAGUAACCUGCCUCCUUCUUUGGGAUAACGCCCGGAAACGGGUGCUAAUACUGGAUAUUCACUGGUCUUCGCAUGGGGGUUGGUGGAAAGGGUUUUUCUGGUGGGGGAUGGGCUCGCGGCCUAUCAGCUUGUUGGUGGGGUGAUGGCCUACCAAGGCUUUGACGGGUAGCCGGCCUGAGAGGGUGAGCGGCAAUGUGGGGAUGGUAAGACGCCCCGGUCCCGAGGGGGGGGCGGGAGUGGGAAUGAUGGCAGAAGGGGCGCAGGUGUGAACCGGCGCCCCGGCGGGAGGGAGGGAGGCCGCGGGUUGGGGACCUUCUUUCGGUAUGGGUAGCCCCGCAAAACGGGUUGUUGGGGGGGUGGUGGGUAAAAAAGGCCGGGCAAACUACGGC
Molecule: ribosomal RNA, 483 nt
Filed under: uncultured bacterium
Lineage: Bacteria
Description: partial 16S ribosomal RNA
Rfam family: Bacterial small subunit ribosomal RNA
Source: RNAcentral